UCGAGGUUCCGGUCCGCGGUUCCUGCCAUUACAUCAAAAAUAAAGGAAAAAUUAUAUCAAAAAUAAAAGAAAAAUACAAGAUCCUAUCUACUUCUUGUCUCCAAUCUUCCUUGAAUAUCCACUUGAUCCUUCAAUCAUGAAACUGAAAAUUCAACCCCAUUCUUCAAGUGGGCAUCCUGCUGACUUGAAUCUGAAGAAAACUGGAAGUUGACCCUAUUCUUCAGGGGGGAUCCUGAUGCUUCUAACUUGAACUUGAAAACUGAAAGUUGACCCUGUUCUUCAGGCGGGAUCCUGAUGCCUCUUUGACUUGAACUUGUAAACUGAAAAUUGAC
Molecule: long non-coding RNA, 332 nt
Filed under: Nicotiana tabacum (common tobacco)
Lineage: Eukaryota; Viridiplantae; Streptophyta; Magnoliopsida; Solanales; Solanaceae
Description: long non-coding RNA (NTAB_LNC005858)
Source: RNAcentral